CCCUUAGAUGUUCUGGGCCGCACGCGCGCUACACUGAUGCAUUCAACGAGCCUAGCCUUGACCGAGAGGUCCGGGUAAUCUUUGAAACUGCAUCGUGAUGGGGCUAGAUUAUUGCAAUUAUUAAUCUUCAACGAGGAAUGCCUAGUAAGCGUGAUUCAUCAAAUCGCGUUGAUUACGUCCCUGCCCUUUGUACACACCGCCCGUCGCUCCUACCGAUUGAGUGUGUUGGUGAGGAGUUUGGAUUGGCCUCGGAAGGUGGUUCGCCACCGUCCGUAGCUGAGAAGUUCUCCAAACCGCCCCACUUAGAGGAGGGAGAAGUCGUAACA
This 326-nucleotide ribosomal RNA is filed under the name uncultured eukaryote. Its description in RNAcentral is "partial 18S ribosomal RNA". It matches the Rfam family "Eukaryotic small subunit ribosomal RNA", at positions 1470 to 1796 of the family's 1831-position model. The record is from RNAcentral.